RNAcentral lists this unclassified non-coding RNA (167 nucleotides) under soil metagenome. Its description in RNAcentral is "partial internal transcribed spacer 1". The record is from RNAcentral.
GUGAAUAUAGCGCAUCUCUUCGGAGGAGCGUGACCUCCACUUUCAACUCUGUGCAUUUUUUUGGCGAGGGGAACGAGACGAAGCGACGCAAGUUGCAGACUCUCGCCUCUUGCGGCUCAUUUUAAACACUAGUUAAAGUAUGUAACGAAAUAUCGAAACAAAAAAAA